UAGCUUAAUUAAUGCACCAAGGAAAGUAGUCGUAUACACUCACAAACUACUCGAUAGGCUGACACUUGUUAUUUACGAUAGAGGUAUUGUGAUAAGAUAAAAAAGACAAUAUUUGUAAGCAUUAUCUACUUCGCAAUUCCAGGACCACACGACUGAGAUAGAAGAUUAAGAAUCUUGACUGCAAUUAGUUGUAAUUAGUAUCAGUCAUCAUUAUUAUAUUGUCCCACUUUUUCCAUUGUAGUUGCCAUCUGUUUUGUCUAAUCUAUGAUUAUCCUGCAUUAUAGAGAUGUGCAAAAUAGGAGCUAAUAAGUUAAUCAGAGCUGUAGAUAAACAGAAGAUGUGAAUUACUAAAUGAGUUCACUUCUGUUAUCACCAAUUAUUACUUAUUUUGGAUUCUCAAAGUUACUAGCAUAAAUUCAAACAAUGCUCUACGUAUUGCAGCAACAUAAUUCAGAACAACGAUGCGAAAAUUCUGACUGUACAAUGUAACUAUUGAAGCAGAGAGAAACACUGUAAUGGGCAGAAAGCAGCUACAAAGAUACCUCUGAAGAAUAUAUGAAGAUCUGGACUACGAUCACUGCAGUGUUCCAUCAUGCAAGUUAACUCAAGGCACAUCAUGAAGAAAUAUAUAAACCCACAUGGAAACAUACGAUGAGAAGAUCACAAGAAGCAGUGAAAGGUUUCUCUUAAAGACCAAGGAGAUUUGUUUAAUUUUGUGAAUUAAUAGGUUUCAUAGUUCUAAUAUUUGAUAUAUGAAGUCUUAAGAAUUUGUUGACCACUUGUAAGAGUUGAUUCAGUCUCUUAUAAUUAAGUGAUCUCAUGUUCCUUCAGUAAUCAAUCAAAAAGAACGAUGACUUCAAACAUUUUUUUCAACAUAUAAAUUUCUCCAUUCAACUAAAGUCUUUUAUCUUUAGAAAAAAUUCUAACUAGUAUUGGUCACUGUACAUCUUAAUAAAGCAUAACCUCCUUUGCAAAAGUGAUAAAAAAAGAGUAGAAAAUAUCCAAUCUCAAACCUGCAAUCAAUCCCUAAUAAGAUUUUCUCAUACGAUCAUAACCAUUUUUUUUUUUUUUUUUGGGUUCUUGUACACAGGACAUGAAGUUGUACAACAAAAGUUUAAAGAAAACGAGAGUUAGCCAAUUAUGAACAUUAGGAUUUGAGCUUGUUUCCAGCAAUGUCACAUCACAUUCCGGUGGUUGAUCAAGCCCAAGUAAUACUAGAACUUCGUUGAGCUAAUUGCUUCCAAUAAUCAAGUCCUACAAAAUUAUAUGUAUUCUAAUCUCAUGUAGUAAAACAUCUCUGUAACUGACAAUUUGAAAUUUAUCUUGAUAAAUUUGGCUCUUACAAAAUAAACCUGAUCUUUUUCCAAAUGGAUUACAUUUUGACUAUCACAAAACACUGUCAUAACCUCUCAGAAAUGUUGAAUUUAUUAACUAUAAUAUAAAACAAGUAGGUUUCCUUCAUAAGUAAGGUCUUUGCCAUCCAUGACAAAGACACAGAAGAAUAUGACAUCGACCUUUCUCCACAGAAUCCCAGUUAGUAUAGACAUAAGAUUGUGCCCGAUAUACUUUUAUUAAAGACAGCAUAUGAUCUGAAUCUACAAAGCCAAUAACCUUCACAUGAGAUUCUUAAACAUUGUUCAUCUUAUACAUCAAUACUAAAUUUGGAGUACCAGAGCAUGCCAAUUGGGGAUUUGUCGGGAUGAUGUUUUAAGACAUUCCUAGUACUGUUUAUCUGAAGCAAAACUUGGAUCAUCAAGCCCAUACAUUCAAGCUUUUAAUUUCCAAAAAGCAGUCAUUUUUAACUCAACUUUCUAAGACUGUAUAGAAUCUUUAAAUUUCCAUUUUGAAUGGAACCCACUGUUCUGCAAUAGAAACUCUCGAGAGAUUGACUCAAAGUCUGAAGCAAAAGAAUGUAUGAGAAGAAUAAAGUCAUUAGCUACCCAAUCACCAUUUAAAAUUGGAACAGGAACAGGAACAGGAACCAGAACCAGCAACUACACCUAAAUAUAAAUGCAAUUCAGUAUGAAGCAGAUCAAAAUUAGUACAAGACAUAAAAUUUGACACGCUUGGGUUAGAAAUUCAUAACUCAACCCAAAACCUUCCAAAGGAAAUCCCUCGAGUUUAAACACGAUCAUAGGAAAUACAAAUAAAAUUCGAAAGUUGGGCUUGCCAUAAAAAUAGUAAGCUUACCUCUACUCUCUAGAGAACCGUCUGCUGUGGCUGAUUUGGCCAACGGCUAGUUCUUUCCCGCCUGCCUUUUCUCUUCUGCUCUAAAGUCGGGGGGAAGUUUACCGCAGACGGUUUUCAUCGUACAGUUUGUUAAGUGAUGGAUUUUUUUUGGGCCGUAAUGGGCCAGAGAACCGCACCCAACUGCAUUGUUUGAAAGAUUGUACUGUAUACUACUUGAAAACUGCACAGUAUCAGUAGGGACGGAGAUUGCCGCUUCCAAUUUU
RNAcentral lists this long non-coding RNA (2453 nucleotides) under Citrus maxima (pomelo). Its description in RNAcentral is "long non-coding RNA (CMAX_LNC000053)". Lineage: Eukaryota; Viridiplantae; Streptophyta; Magnoliopsida; Sapindales; Rutaceae. The record is from RNAcentral.